This 330-nucleotide ribosomal RNA is filed under the name uncultured bacterium. RNAcentral's name for it is "bacterial SSU rRNA". It matches the Rfam family "Bacterial small subunit ribosomal RNA", at positions 568 to 898 of the family's 1533-position model. The record is from RNAcentral.
UUCGUAGGCGGUGUGGCAAGUCGGGAGUGAAAUCUAUGGGCUUAACCCAUAGGCUGCUUCCGAAACUGCUGUGCUUGAGUGUGGGAGAGGCGCGUGGAAUUGCAGGUGUAGCGGUGAAAUGCGUAGAUAUCUGCAGGAACACCCGUGGCGAAAGCGGCGCGCUGGACCACAACUGACGCUGAGGAACGAAAGCUAGGGGAGCAAACAGGAUUAGAUACCCUGGUAGUCCUAGCCCUAAACGAUCAGGACUUGGGGUGCCGCCCGUUCGGGCGUCGUCCCGGAGCUAACGCGUUAAGUCCUGCACCUGGGACGUACGGUCGCAAGACUGAA